RNAcentral lists this transfer RNA (73 nucleotides) under Sparassis crispa. It matches the Rfam family "tRNA". From Rfam's summary of the family: Transfer RNA (tRNA) molecules are approximately 80 nucleotides in length. Their secondary structure includes four short double-helical elements and three loops (D, anti-codon, and T loops). Lineage: Eukaryota; Fungi; Basidiomycota; Agaricomycetes; Polyporales; Sparassidaceae. The record is from Rfam by way of RNAcentral.
AAGAGCGUAGUAUUAAUUGGCAGUAUGACGAUCUCCAAAAUCAUUGGUAGGUGUUCGAAUCACCUCGCUCUUG